This is a non-coding RNA of Agelaius phoeniceus (red-winged blackbird), 522 nucleotides long. Lineage: Eukaryota; Metazoa; Chordata; Aves; Passeriformes; Icteridae. The record is from RefSeq and is a predicted model, not a curated record.
GCUUUUUGCCUUUGUGAAGACUGAGCAGAGCUCAUGAAGAUCCCUUUUGCAGUGUAACACUGCUAAUCCUGCCUUUUCUCAGUAGGACUUAGGUGUAUUUGUGUUCUUUCAUCAUGGCAACUCCCUGCUCCCUUGAUACCAUGUUCUGGACCUGGGAGACUUCAGUGCAACAGCUGUUAGCAGUUCUGAAGAAAGCAGGUUGCUGUCUACUCCUCCAGGUUCUUUUGUCUCCAACAGGAAAGGCUGUAAUUGGAAUAUAAAUGAAACCAUUUUUUCCCCUGAAAUGAAAUGUAGACAGCUUUGGCUAUCUGGCAGUAAUUCCCAUUCUGAGUUUCCCUUGGUGAGAUUCCUGUUUCCACUGGAGCAUAAUUUCCAAACAGAAGAAGAGGAUGUCACCAGAGGCACUCCAGAUAUGUAAUGUCCCUUAUUCAGCAAAUCAGAUGAACAGGUGCUGAAAUGUUGGUUCUUUGAGCAGUCCCAGUAGAGUUAUCACAGAAAAAUGUUUACAACAAAAUAAAAGGA